AGAGUUUGAUCCUGGCUCAGGAUGAACGCUGGCGGCGUGCCUAACACAUGCAAGUCGAGCGAAGCGAUUUUGAGGAAGUUUACGGAUGGAAUUGGAAUUGACUGAGCGGCGGACGGGUGAGUAACGCGUGGGUAACCUGCCUCAUACAGGGGGAUAACAGUUAGAAAUGACUGCUAAUACCGCAUAAGCGCACGGGACCGCAUGGUCUUGUGUGAAAAACUCCGGUGGUAUGAGAUGGACCCGCGUCUGAUUAGGUAGUUGGCGGGGUAGCGGCCCACCAAGCCGACGAUCAGUAGCCGACCUGAGAGGGUGACCGGCCACAUUGGGACUGAGACACGGCCCAAACUCCUACGGGAGGCAGCAGUGGGGAAUAUUGCACAAUGGGGGAAACCCUGAUGCAGCGACGCCGCGUGAGUGAAGAAGUAUUUCGGUAUGUAAAGCUCUAUCAGCAGGGAAGAAAGUGACGGUACCUGAGUAAGAAGCCCCGGCUAACUACGUG
RNAcentral lists this ribosomal RNA (499 nucleotides) under uncultured Lachnospiraceae bacterium. RNAcentral describes it as "bacterial SSU rRNA". It matches the Rfam family "Bacterial small subunit ribosomal RNA", at positions 8 to 507 of the family's 1533-position model. The record is from RNAcentral. Lineage: Bacteria; Bacillati; Bacillota; Clostridia; Lachnospirales; Lachnospiraceae.